This 30-nucleotide non-coding RNA is filed under the name Mus musculus (house mouse). The record is from RNAcentral. Lineage: Eukaryota; Metazoa; Chordata; Mammalia; Rodentia; Muridae.
UCAAAGUUUCAGGUUUCAUUAGAUAGGCCA